This 1668-nucleotide unclassified non-coding RNA is filed under the name Nodosilinea sp. 2AD401_Zammit. Its description in RNAcentral is "bacterial SSU rRNA". The stretch from base 1 to 1122 matches the Rfam family "Bacterial small subunit ribosomal RNA", at positions 400 to 1533 of the family's 1533-position model. Lineage: Bacteria; Bacillati; Cyanobacteriota; Cyanophyceae; Nodosilineales; Nodosilineaceae. The record is from RNAcentral.
CGUGAGGGAGGAGGCCCUAGGGUUGUAAACCUCUUUUCUCUGGGAAGAAGAACUGACGGUACCAGAGGAAUAAGCCUCGGCUAACUCCGUGCCAGCAGCCGCGGUAAGACGGAGGAGGCAAGCGUUAUCCGGAAUUAUUGGGCGUAAAGCGUCCGCAGGCGGUUAAUUAAGUCUGUUGUCAAAGCCCACAGCUCAACUGUGGAUCGGCAAUGGAAACUGGUUGACUUGAGUGUGGUAGGGGUAGAGGGAAUUCCCGGUGUAGCGGUGAAAUGCGUAGAUAUCGGGAAGAACACCAGUGGCGAAGGCGCUCUACUGGGCCACAACUGACGCUGAGGGACGAAAGCUAGGGGAGCGAAAGGGAUUAGAUACCCCUGUAGUCCUAGCUGUAAACGAUGGAUACUAGGUGUUGGACGUAUCGACCCGUGCAGUACCGUAGCUAACGCGUUAAGUAUCCCGCCUGGGGAGUACGCACGCAAGUGUGAAACUCAAAGGAAUUGACGGGGGCCCGCACAAGCGGUGGAGGAUGUGGUUUAAUUCGAUGCAACGCGAAGAACCUUACCAAGGCUUGACAUGUCGCGAAUCUUUCAGAGAUGAGAGAGUGCCUUCGGGAGCGCGAACACAGGUGGUGCAUGGCUGUCGUCAGCUCGUGUCGUGAGAUGUUGGGUUAAGUCCCGCAACGAGCGCAACCCUCGUUUUUAGUUGCCAGCAUUCAGUUGGGCACUCUAAAGAGACUGCCGGGGACAACUCGGAGGAAGGUGGGGACGACGUCAAGUCAUCAUGCCCCUUACGUCUUGGGCUACACACGUCCUACAAUGCUACAGACAGAGGGCAGCGAGCGCGCGAGUGCAAGCAAAUCCCAUAAACUGUGGCUCAGUUCAGAUUGCAGGCUGCAACUCGCCUGCAUGAAGGCGGAAUCGCUAGUAAUCGCAGGUCAGCAUACUGCGGGUGAAUACGUUCCCGGGCCUUGUACACACCCGCCCGUCACACCAUGGGAAGUUGGCCACGCCCCGAAGUCGUUACUCUAACCGUUCGCGGAGGAGGGCGCCGAAGGCAGGGCUGAUGACUGGGGUGAAGUCGUAACAAGGUAGCCGUACCGGAAGGUGUGGCUGGAUCACCUCCUUUUAGGGAGACCUACCCUUGAUAACUCCGAACCAUUGUUAUUAGGAGUAUCGAGCGGUCACUCUAGGUCGUUCAGGACUUUGAGACUAGUUUCUAGACUAUGGUUGAGGUUUAUUUCUUGACUUUCACUAGUGAUAGUGAGGGAAAAGGGAACUAAACACGGGCUAUUAGCUCAGGUGGUUAGAGCGCACCCCUGAUAAGGGUGAGGUCCCUGGUUCGAGUCCAGGAUGGCCCACUGCGUGGGGGUUUAGCUCAGUUGGUAGAGCGCCUGCUUUGCAAGCAGGAUGUCAGCGGUUCGAGUCCGCUAACCUCCACCACGAAAGCAAGGGAUUCAAUUCAGCACGGUGUGUGUUUCUUGGCUUGUCAAGAGGAUGCAUAGUCUGCUGGGUGAGAGCCCGGCUUGAGAACCUUGAAAACUGAAUAUGAGAGAAGUGUAAGGUAGUACACACAGAACAUUCAAAGUUCGUUGAGAGAAGAGUGAACUUGAUUAGUUACGACUAAUUGAGUGAAGGUCAAGCUACAACGGGCUCACGGUGGUAUCGUUUUGGG